Molecule: ribosomal RNA, 497 nt
Filed under: uncultured bacterium
Lineage: Bacteria
Description: partial 16S ribosomal RNA
Rfam family: Bacterial small subunit ribosomal RNA
Source: RNAcentral
GAUGAACGCUGGCGGCGUGCCUAAUACAUGCAAGUCGAGCGAACGGACGAGAAGCUUGCUUCUCUGAUGUUAGCGGCGGACGGGUGAGUAACACGUGGAUAACCUACCUAUAAGACUGGGAUAACUUCGGGAAACCGGAGCUAAUACCGGAUAAUAUUAUGAACCGCAUGGUUCAAAAGUGAAAGACGGUCUUGCUGUCACUUAUAGAUGGAUCCGCGCUGCAUUAGCUAGUUGGUAAGGUAACGGCUUACCAAGGCAACGAUGCAUAGCCGACCUGAGAGGGUGAUCGGCCACACUGGAACUGAGACACGGUCCAGACUCCUACGGGAGGCAGCAGUAGGGAAUCUUCCGCAAUGGGCGAUAGCCUGACGGAGCAACGCCGCGUGAGUGAUGAAGGUCUUCGGAUCGUAAAACUCUGUUAUUAGGGAAGAACAUAUGUGUAAGUAACUGUGCACAUCUUGACGGUACCUAAUCAGAAAGCCACGGCUAACUACGUG